GUCAAAGAGGAGGAAUGUAGGCUAACAAUUUCUGACUGUGGGCUCACAGGUAUCGGUUCCGGGUGCUAACUUCGCUUUGUUGCUUUUUGAUAAUUCUCCCAAACUGACAAAGUGACAACCUCUCACUUGAAAUCUCCUUUUUACUUGCUGCUCACCACAAUCCUGAUCCCAGACUUGAAGCAGCGACAAAAGCCGGCUCGUCAGGGAUAACAGAUGAGCGUAGAUGAACAGUGUCAGGAGGAGACGGCGCAUGUGACUGGAGCUGUGCAGCAUGACAAGUUGCCAUGUUGUGGAAUCCAAAUAGGAGCAGGGCCAGAGGUGGGGAAGAGGACCUGUCUGCGGUCCGGCUACGUCUGCCAGAGCUUCCUCCCACCUGUCUGAUGCUGCUGAAAUUUAUGUGGCUGUAUAGGAGGAGGCCAAACCAAUGUGCCAGGCCAUGUGUAGGCUUCCUUUUACACUGACAGUUGUGUGUAUGAAACUGUAGCUGGUUUCCAGUGAGGCUUGGCCCAGUGUAUCUGGAAUCUGUCAUGAGUGAAAGCUUGAAAAGGUUAGGACAGUUCAGGGAAGAUAAAUGGUGAAUGGGGAGGACAGCUGAUGUAGGAACACAAACACUUCAAGACGAUGGAGUGGACUGAGGCUGGGUUCCUAUAUCCUACUACACACUGCUGGUUCCUGUGCUACAGUUGCUGCAGAUGCAGGAAAUCAUCCGUUGUAUGCUCCACUAACAGAAGUUUCUACAGACCAUUCACAUGAGCCACUCUAUUACUCUCAUCAAAACAAAUGAUAAAGAAUGGUUAUUAGGUUUUCACCAUGUCUUUUGUGUAAUAAAGCUCGUUAACUGCAUUGUGCAAAACAAAUGGGCAGAAUAAUCAGUAUACUUAUUGACAUUGUGUCAUUUCUAGUUAGAGCAGGAAGAGGACUCUCACUAUGGCUCCGGGCUUUGCCUUCUAUCUCUCAAGAGGAAGAGCGCUAAUGGCUUCUGAAAGCAGGGAUCGAAGGAACUCAUAAAGCUCUGCAGGCCGACAUGAGAGGAGGAAGAACAUUAUUAAUCCUUUUUCAUCAGAAUACAUGACGUUCUGUGCAAUACAGCACGCAGGCUUGAGACCACUAUUACACGGCAUCACAAUAAAUGAUUGCACAGGGCGGCCUGCGUGAUGCAAGUCUGAAAAUUAAAGGAAGUGGACUUUUUAUUUUUCAUUUCUCUGCAUUUCAACAGCCAAAUAACUGGGUGUCCAGGAAAACUGGUUCCAGCAGCACCAAAACUUUGCUAGUCUAGAACCAAAAACAGAAGUCAAACUUUGUCACGGAUAUUAAAAAAAAACUGCAACAACAAUAAUUAAAAAAAACUGAGCCAUGAUAUGGACGUAUAUUUGUCUCAUUAUCUCUGGUGUUAAUGAAGAGUACCACAGUGGUGUGCAAAAAAAACAAGUGCAUUUCUUAAUGACAUUUUAUUUGCUAAUAUCAGCUGGCUUUUAUGAAUGCCGUUGCAAAUACUUUCACAUAGAGUAGUGUUCACAAAUACCGACUUCCAUGUACAAUGCCAUUUAUGAACACCGACCGUCGAAGUUAAAACAAUGGCAGGUCAAUGAGAUGAAUAUUGACUCCUUUAGCUUUCCAGCAGUGGUCUACGGGAGAGGCAAAGUGUCGCUUUGCACUGUGAUCCUUGACAGAAGUUCAGAAUGAAUUUUAGGGAGUUUCAGUAACAAAAUAUUUGCACCAUCAUUUACAGUGAUGUAAUGGCAUAUAUGAUACAGUGUAGGACAUAGAAAAGCAUCCUAGUUCAGGUUUGAAACUCUGUACUAGCACUAGCAGCAAUCCACGAUUAGUAUCAUUUUGUGUCGGUGGAAAGACGAUAAUAAUAACAAGAAAAGCACUCAGAGAGCUCUUUGCUCCACCAAGGCUAUUUAUUCCCCCAUAUGGCAUUGUCAGAAAUUCAGCAUUUGUUUUUUUUUUUUUUUUUUUUUUUUAGAAAUGCAGCAUUUGUUUAUUAGUUAUUGAUGAUCAGAAAUCACGGCAACAUAGAAUGUGGCCAUUUAAUAUAGAUGUACCCACAAACAAAAUGACCUUGCGCUGAGCACAGGUGUGUGUUAUGCAUGUGUACAUGAUGUACGUUAUACUGAAUCGCAUGACCUAAAUAUGUAGCGGGCAGCGGUAAUUGAUGGGACUCGGAAACACCCCCACAAGUUAAUCAAUAGUUCCUUGUAUGAUUUCCGAUGGAUAAGUCUCAAUAAGUCCGCAGCGGUGGAUUUGUAGUAGGAUCGCAGUCAUGUGAGGCAGGCAGCUGACGUAGUGUUCACUUGUUGUCAUGGUUACAGGGACACCGUGCCGCUAUCUUGCAAUGAUACAGAAUUUUUUAACAAAUCCGUGGAUCUAGACUACGUCGCAUCACUGCCAAAAUCUAAUCAGGCGGUCCUUGUGUCAUUUCUGACCUUCCCUGAAAAUCUCAUCCAAAUUAGUUAGUCCAUUUUUGAGUAAUGUUGCUAACAGACAGACAGACAAACUGACAAAAGUACGCAGAUCAUCACAUAACUGCCGAGUUCCUUUGCGGAGUAAUAAGGGGAACAGGGAAACUAAGUCAGCUGGGCCACAGCAUUAGCAGGACCUUCCAUAACAAUGGAAAAUUUUGCAAUCUUGAAAUGUCAUAUUGUUAACAUGACAAGUACAUUAUUACUGUUCAAUGCAACUAUUGUAAUGGACUACUUAUGUCUGUAUUCAUCACCUUAAUCUAAUAUUGGUAGGUAACAUGGCCGUCUAGCUAAUGUUAUAAAAACUUGAAUGAACCUUUGGUUUCAGUUUUGAGAUGAAAAGUAAAUUUAAGAAUAAGGAGUUUUGCUAAAUAAUAAUGUUUACAUGACUAGUUUCUUAGAGUUUUAAUUUGUUUUAAUGAUAGAAACAAUCUUCAGCAACAUCAAAAAUAUUUAUCAAAUCUGAGUUAUUUGCCAAGAUUCCUAUAUUUAGACCUGUAAGUUAAUUUGAUGGUAACACCAGGUUCUAAUCCUGUAUUUUCAGUUUUAAUGCUCUGACUACUAAGUUAUGAUGCUACCUCCAUAUUACAUCAGAACAUUUUGAAACAAAUGCAUUGGGAUUCUGUAAAUAAAACAAGAUUCCAUUAAAUUCUUUUUUUUUUAUUGUUUCCAUGUUGUGAAAUACAGCAAUCCCAUCUCAGACCACAGUAAGAAUCCUUUUCAUCACUGUCUUGCUCAGGUACUGUGAUGGAAAUAAAGUAAAAACUCAAAACUCAAAAGCUUCACACAGUAUUCUCACAAAUGCCUCAAAUGUGGCUGAGAUUCCAGAUUGUGCUGAGCACUUCAUUAUUGAUCAUUUUAUUGGAUGUAUUAAAUGGGUAAGAGAGCCUACUGAGGCUGCAUACAACUGAAAUAUUAAAUUUUUCAACCAGAAAACUUCAGAAAUAAAGGGCAUUUUACUAAACACUGUUACUGAAAAAUUAAUCAUGCAAAUUAAGAAUUUUCCAUGAUUAAUCCAGGGGUGUAAAAAUAUGUGUUGAAAAUAUUUUCAGUUCAGGCUUCUGUUCUGAUGUGUUCAU
This is a long non-coding RNA of Amphiprion ocellaris (clown anemonefish), 3544 nucleotides long. RefSeq lists it as uncharacterized. The record is from RefSeq and is a predicted model, not a curated record. The transcript has 4 exons. NCBI's taxonomy places the organism in Eukaryota, Metazoa, Chordata, Actinopteri, Pomacentridae.